Molecule: long non-coding RNA, 754 nt
Organism: Gallus gallus (chicken)
Lineage: Eukaryota; Metazoa; Chordata; Aves; Galliformes; Phasianidae
Exons: 3
Source: RefSeq, a predicted model, not a curated record
AUGGCUUCCCUGGGCAUCGUAGGUGAAGAACUCCUUAGCAGCAGGAGUACCGGGUUCGCAAUGCAGCCCUUCAUUUUCAUCCUGUAAAUUGCUGCUGCUGGGUUCGCUCAGUGCUGUGAAUGAUCAUCGCUUUACGAUGGAUGACCAGAGAGGAUGAUGUGAUCUGAGGCUGAAGGGAUCGAUAUCCGCUAACGCAAAAAGAGGAAGAAUUCCUUCUACCGCAGGUUGCGUUACCUCUCUCUAAAGCUCCUUCAGCUACAAAGCUGCAAAGGCAGAUACGUGAGCUCUGUUUCACCAAGCCAUCAAACAUGAUAACAGUCAGUUAUAUAAACAUCUGAGUGUGGAGACAUUUGAUUCCGGUGCUGUGUGGGCAGCCUGGUUUGCAGCAGAGAUUUCUAAACAGGCAAUCCGGUUUUCCAGAGUGUUGGAGAGAAUGCACAGUUAAGAACUGAAUGGCAAGGCAGAGAUCUGUCUGAGGAAGGACUCUGGGGUGCUGUAAGAGAAGUUACACUGCCUUGGAGGUCUUUCUGCAGGAAAACCAGUCCUGGCCCAUGCUGCUCCACCACAGGAUCAAGAGAGGCCACAAGAAGAGCUUUUGAAGUGCUUCCUGAUCCUAACUAUGGCUUAACCAGCUCUGUGAGAGAGUCAAGCAUGAUACUACCUGCUCUACUCAAGGUGUGGCCCAGCGCAUAAAGGCUUGUAUUGGGGAUCUGCACAGGGACUCCGGCUCUGCUGCUGCUUCAGCUCAAUGGGC